GAAUGAUAUAAUAUUGCAGUUUUACACUUUGGAGUCAUUAUUUGACAUAUAGUAAAGCAGGUGUUAUGUAGGUACGGUGUGAUGGAAAGUAUAGAAACCCACUGUCCUGUACAAGGUGUGGGUUAAAGUGGCAUGUGUGUAUUUGUACAGCUGGUGUCUGAAUUAUUCGUAGACCGGAGAAAAGCUCCCCUGAAAACCACAGCUGUGAUUCUGUAAGUGUAAUACUACUAAUAGUAAGUACUUCUGGGAACAUCUCUUUGCAUCCUUUAAACAUUAGUUUAAAACAAAAAAAGGAUCUGAAUGUUUUUGGAUGCAAUCAUCUACCACGUGGCUUUGUACUGUUGUGUUUGUGAGCUUAAUAAAUAACUAAGAGUGAAACAAACUUUCUCAUUUUUAUCCAUUUAGGUUCCCUUUAUUUGAGUUUGAAAAAUGAAAAUCAGGGAUUUUAUGAGAAACAGACUCCAAAUCAGUACUGCAUGUCCUAUUUUAUUAAACUUAUAUUCUUCUUUAUAUUAUAUUCUUCUUUUUCUAGGUGAGGUUUUUUUAUUUUGUUGUAUUUAGCAGGUGUUGAGAAAAAACUCCUCUGGAAUUGUGUAAAAGUAAAAGUUUAAACAUUUUAACAUUUAAAAUGUUAAAAUGUUCAAUGUUCACCUUAAAAAAGGUGAACAUUGAACAUUUUAACAUUUUAAGGCCAAAUAUAGGGUAACGUGCUUGUCCAUCCCAUAAUAUCACCGAUGAGAGCGGGAUUUGUUUUGUUUCAACCGGACGCGGAUUGGCCCAUCUAUACACCCAUACAUGUAUGUACCUUGCUUACAUAAACACCACAGAAGAAGACGUAUCCUAAAGAACCCAUUUUAAUAAUGUGGACUGGAGCGACCAUGAACCGUUCCCCGCCAGUCCUCAUCACUCAUCCCGCAGUUUCCUCCCGCACAUUCUGCAGAAGACGCUCCAUGGGCCAUGGAUGUGUACUUAUCUGGCUUGUUGUUCAGCCUGGAGCUCUGCGAAUAAACACAGACGAGGAAGUGCAAGGGAUUGGAUCCAUAAUGGCAGCAGCAGUGGCUCACGCGGCUCAGGCAGGACAGGGAUCGGGCCUUCGGUGCAGUCAACAGGUUGCCACGUUCCCUCGUGAUACCUACCUUCAAAUAUGGCCGGAGGGCGAGAGAAUUAAAGGCAUCACAAGAGGCCCCUUUGAAACCCUCCAACUUAGCGUGAAAUCACUGCGCGCCAGCACUUUGAUCCACAAAUGGUCAAGCGGCAGCCGACCAUCGCGCUCCGCUUCCGUGGGGAAAACGCACGCCGGGAACAGCGCCGGCACCCCCCCCCUCCCCUCCUGCACCUGACCGCCUUGAUUUGCUCAGUGAACCGAUCCUCCAGCUAAUAAGCUUCGUGCCUCGCCGCACUGCAUUGCCUCCUCUCUGUCUUCCAUCACGCGUGCCUUUCGACGCGGAGCUGCCCUGUGCAGCCAGAGGUAAACAGCAGGUACUGCGCCGCAUCACAGUCAUAAUUCCACUAAUUAACCCCCUCACCCACCGUAUCCCUCGAGUGUCAGCCGCGGCUCCUCGCUCGCUAACUGAUCUGUCUGCCGGCGUGGCUGCCGAACAGGACCAUAAUGAUCGAUGACGUGUGCUUUGAUUUCAGAUUGGACCUGUUCUGUUUCCACUUCUAGAAGUGGAGGAGUGGUACCAGUGAAAACGUGGACAUAGACCUUCACUACUACACAAGUUGGGAGGUUAUAAUAAAAGCCUUUGACUAAAGGUAGGCCUGCA
This 1766-nucleotide long non-coding RNA is filed under the name Betta splendens (Siamese fighting fish). RNAcentral describes it as "lncRNA (ENSBSLG00000009597.1)". Lineage: Eukaryota; Metazoa; Chordata; Actinopteri; Anabantiformes; Osphronemidae. The record is from RNAcentral.